GGCGAGCAGAGGGGAUGGAGUUGAGCAGAGUUCACUUCAGGACAGCCCAUGGGUCAGAAGGAACUGAGGAAUGCACCCGCUGCCCAGGUUAGCAAGGGGGGCAGGACCAGAUGGCAUGGCUUCUUACCUCCCCUGCCCAAGGGGCCUGGAGCAUUGCUGCCACCCUCACUGGUGACAGGGCUGCUUGAAGUUGCAGAGCACAUCCCAUCUGGGUGGGCUUGCCGCCACUGCAACAGAGAGCCUGCGGGACCAGGCAAAUGAAGGAAGCCUUACUUGCUCAUAGCCAAGCUUCUUUUCAGGUUCUCUUUUAUAUUUUAUUGCAACCAAGAAUUCCAGGGCCAUACUUCGAGCCAGGGAUGAUGGAUGCUAAGCUCAUUAACCGCCUGCUCAGUUUGUGGACUUGUUUCUGCUGAAUCUGUAGUCCAGUCCUCUAUUCAAGGCCCACCACAGAGACACAGGAAUGGAACUCAGAAUCACAAACAAAGAAACCUCGGUCCAAGAAAGAAAAUGAUCUUUAAAAAGACCCUCGUUUCAUGCUUGCCGAUGCUGAGACAAUCGGCUCUGGAGGAUAUUUGGAGACACCGAUUAAAAGAAAUGUGGCAGCCCAAGACCCAAGCAAGGAUAGGAUUUCCCAGACAUUCCCGAGGGAGACAAUCCCAUGUGCUUUCCUUCUGAUGUCACAUCAGAAUCUGAAGGCUGCUAGAGAAGGGAGAGGCACAUGCAAGUGCAUCCCAUGCUGAUUGUUGUUGAAAUACCUGGAAAGAAACUGGCAAAGACUAUCCAAG
RNAcentral lists this long non-coding RNA (785 nucleotides) under Cercocebus atys (sooty mangabey). RNAcentral's name for it is "lncRNA (ENSCATG00000045408.1)". Lineage: Eukaryota; Metazoa; Chordata; Mammalia; Primates; Cercopithecidae. The record is from RNAcentral.